CAGAUUUACUUCGGUAAUGACGUUAGGAAAGCGAGCGGCGGAUGGGUGAGUAACACGUGGGGAACCUGCCCCAUAGUCUGGGAUACCACUUGGAAACAGGUGCUAAUACCGGAUAAGAAAGCAGAUCGCAUGAUCAGCUUUUAAAAGGCGGCGUAAGCUGUCGCUAUGGGAUGGCCCCGCGGUGCAUUAGCUAGUUGGUAAGGUAAAGGCUUACCAAGGCGAUGAUGCAUAGCCGAGUUGAGAGACUGAUCGGCCACAUUGGGACUGAGACACGGCCCAAACUCCUACGGGAGGCAGCAGUAGGGAAUCUUCCACAAUGGACGCAAGUCUGAUGGAGCAACGCCGCGUGAGUGAAGAAGGUUUUCGGAUCGUAAAGCUCUGUUGUUGGUGAAGAAGGAUAGAGGUAGUAACUGGCCUUUAUUUGACGGUAAUCAACCAGAAAGUCACGGCUAACUACGUGCCAGCAGCCGCGGUAAUACGUAGGUGGCAAGCGUUGUCCGGAUUUAUUGGGCGUAAAGCGAGCGCAGGCGGAAGAAUAAGUCUGAUGUGAAAGCCCUCGGCUUAACCGAGGAACUGCAUCGGAAACUGUUUUUCUUGAGUGCAGAAGAGGAGAGUGGAACUCCAUGUGUAGCGGUGGAAUGCGUAGAUAUAUGGAAGAACACCAGUGGCGAAGGCGGCUCUCUGGUCUGCAACUGACGCU
RNAcentral lists this ribosomal RNA (700 nucleotides) under uncultured Bacilli bacterium. Its description in RNAcentral is "bacterial SSU rRNA". It matches the Rfam family "Bacterial small subunit ribosomal RNA", at positions 70 to 747 of the family's 1533-position model. Lineage: Bacteria; Bacillati; Bacillota; Bacilli. The record is from RNAcentral.